This 253-nucleotide ribosomal RNA is filed under the name uncultured bacterium. RNAcentral describes it as "partial 16S ribosomal RNA". It matches the Rfam family "Bacterial small subunit ribosomal RNA", at positions 524 to 776 of the family's 1533-position model. The record is from RNAcentral.
UACGUAGGGUGCAAGCGUUAAUCGGAAUUACUGGGCGUAAAGCGUGCGCAGGCGGUCUUGCAAGACAGAUGUGAAAUCCCCGGGCUUAACCUGGGAACCGCAUUUGUGACUGCAUAGCUGGAGUACGGCAGAGGGGGAUGGAAUUCCGCGUGUAGCAGUGAAAUGCGUAGAUAUGCGGAGGAACACCGAUGGCGAAGGCAGUCCCCUGGGCCUGUACUGACGCUCAUGCACGAAAGCGUGGGGAGCAAACAGG